RNAcentral lists this non-coding RNA (84 nucleotides) under Kosakonia arachidis. The record is from RNAcentral. Lineage: Bacteria; Pseudomonadati; Pseudomonadota; Gammaproteobacteria; Enterobacterales; Enterobacteriaceae.
ACGACAUCAGAUUCCCUGGUGUACGAAUUUUAAGUGCUUCUUGCGAAAGCAAGCUUUAUCCCGGCCAUUGUCCGGCCGGGAUGU